Molecule: ribosomal RNA, 1632 nt
Filed under: Naranjakotta sp. G STC-2019
Lineage: Eukaryota; Metazoa; Arthropoda; Insecta; Hemiptera; Miridae
Description: partial large subunit ribosomal RNA
Rfam family: Eukaryotic large subunit ribosomal RNA
Source: RNAcentral
GUGGUGUUUGGGAGGGUUCAUAUACCUGAUACUGCUGCACCGCGUCCAAGUCCAUCUUGAAUGAGGCCACGGUCCCGAGAGGGUGCCAGGCCCGUAGCUGGCCGGUGCUGGUGUUGGGUGAACCUCUCCUUAGAGUCAGGUUGCUUGAGAGUGCAGCCCUAAGCGGGUGGUAAACUCCAUCUAAGGCUAAAUACAACCACGAGACCGAUAGCGAACAAGUACCGUGAGGGAAAGUUGAAAAGAACUUUGAAGAGAGAGUUCAAGAGUACGUGAAACCGCUCAGGGGUAAACGGAAAAGACCCGAAAUUUCCGAAAGGGGAGAUUCACGUCUUCUCGCUGGCUCGACUCCUUGUCCAUUGUCGACGGUUCUAUGCCUCAUUCGAACUCGUUCGGAGCGAGUGGUGGAGCCGCACUGGUCGAGGAUGUAGGGUCGCGGCAGACCGCACUUCUCCCCUAGUAGGACGUCGUGACCCGUCCGAUCAUGGUCUAAGAGUGUGUUUGGGAGCCUGUUUGUGUUGUUUCGGCAAUUCACGAGCAGACCUUCGCAUUUCUGGCCAUGAAUGCUUCGGUCGGUAUCAAAAGACAGUGUUGGAUCGCUCUGCGGAGGGAGAAAUCCUUCUUCGAGAGCGCGAUUGGUCCUUGGCAAGGUAGUGAGUCGCGUCAGUCAAGACGGGCCUACGUCCGUCUGACUGCUCUCGCUCCUGUUGGUCGAGGUACUCUAUCUAGAUGAGAACCCCUGGCUUUUCUUAAACUAUGAAGCCAAGGGGUUUCGGAUCAGAGUGCCAAGUGGGCCAAUUUUGGUAAGCAGAACUGGCGCUGUGGGAUGAACCAAACGCGGAGUUAAGGCGCCUCAAUCGACGCUCAUGUGAGACCAUGAAAGGCGUUGGUUGCUUAAGACAGCAGGACGGUGGCCAUGGAAGUCGGAAUCCGCUAAGGAGUGUGUAACAACUCACCUGCCGAAGCAACUAGCCCUGAAAAUGGAUGGCGCUGUAGCGUCGUGCCUAUACUCCGCCGUCAACGGCAACGCAGGCAGUCCUCUCACGGGGACGGCGCUGUUAAGCCUUGACGAGUAAGAGGGCCGCGGCGAUGUGCGCAGAAGGGUUUUGGGCGUGAGCCUGCCUGGAGCCGUCGUCGGUGCAGAUCUUGGUGGUAGUAGCAAAUACUCCAGCGAGGCCCUGGAGGACUGAUGUGGAGAAGGGUUUCAUGUGAACAGCUGUUGCACAUGAGUCAGUCGAUCCUAAGCCCUAGGAGAAAUCCGAAGCGAUGGGUUGCCGUUAAACGUUAACAAGCUUGAUGUUGGCACCAUUUGGGCGAAAGGGAAUCUGGUUCCUAUUCCAGAACCUGGCAGUGGAACCGUUCCAAAUCGGGCCCUCAUUGAGGACUCGUCAGGGCAACCUGAAAGGACCCGGAGACGCCGUCGGGAGAUUCAGGGAGAGUUGUCUCUUCUCUAUAAGCGAUCGAGUUCCCUGGAAACCUCUAGCAGGGAGAUAGGGUUUGGAUCGCGAAGAGCACCGCAGUUACGGCGGUGUCUGAAUCUUCCCCACGGACCUUGAAAAUCCGGGGAGAGGGCCACGAGGAACCCCACGCCAGAUCGUACCCAUAUCCGCAGCAGGUCUCCAAGGUGAAAAGCCU